UGGGGAAUAUUGCGCAAUGGGGGGAACCCUGACGCAGCCAUGCCGCGUGAAUGAAGAAGGCCUUCGGGUUGUAAAGUUCUUUCGGUAUUGAGGAAGGUUGAUGUGUUAAUAGCACAUCAAAUUGACGUUGAAUACAGAAGAAGCACCGGCUAACUCCGUGCCAGCAGCCGCGGUAAUAACGGAGGGUGCGAGCGUUAAUCGGAAUAACUGGGCGUAAAGGGCACGUAGGCGGUUAUUUAAGUGAGGUGUGAAAGCCCCGGGCUUAACCUGGGAAUUGCAUUUCAGACUGGGUAACUAGAGUACUUUAGGGAGGGGUAGAAUUCCACGUGUAGCGGUGAAAUGCGUAGAGAUGUGGAGGAAUACCGAAGGCGAAGCNAGCCCCUUGGGAAUGUACUGACGCUCAUGUGCGAAAGCGUGGGGAGCAAACAGGAUUAGAUACUCUGGUAGUCCACGCUGUAAACGCUGUCGAUUUGGGGGUUGGGGUUUAACUCUGGCGCCCGUAGCUAACGUGAUAAAUCGACCGCCUGGGGAGUACGGCCGCAAGGUUA
This 548-nucleotide ribosomal RNA is filed under the name uncultured bacterium. RNAcentral describes it as "bacterial SSU rRNA". It matches the Rfam family "Bacterial small subunit ribosomal RNA", at positions 355 to 896 of the family's 1533-position model. The record is from RNAcentral.